GAUGAACGCUGGCGGCGUGCUUAACACAUGCAAGUCGAACGAUGAAGCCCAGCUUGCUGGGUGGAUUAGUGGCGAACGGGUGAGUAACACGUGAGUAACCUGCCCUUAACUCUGGGAUAAGCCUGGGAAACUGGGUCUAAUACCGGAUAGGAGCGCCUACCGCAUGGUGGGUGUUGGAAAGAUUUAUCGGUUUUGGAUGGACUCGCGGCCUAUCAGCUUGUUGGUGAGGUAAUGGCUCACCAAGGCGACGACGGGUAGCCGGCCUGAGAGGGUGACCGGCCACACUGGGACUGAGACACGGCCCAGACUCCUACGGGAGGCAGCAGUGGGGAAUAUUGCACAAUGGGCGAAAGCCUGAUGCAGCGACGCCGCGUGAGGGAUGACGGCCUUCGGGUUGUAAACCUCUUUCAGUAGGGUAGAAGCGAAAGUGACGGUACCUGCAGAAGAAGCACCGGCUAACUACGUG
This 466-nucleotide ribosomal RNA is filed under the name uncultured bacterium. Its description in RNAcentral is "partial 16S ribosomal RNA". It matches the Rfam family "Bacterial small subunit ribosomal RNA", at positions 28 to 507 of the family's 1533-position model. The record is from RNAcentral.